Molecule: long non-coding RNA, 3533 nt
Organism: Anguilla anguilla (European eel)
Lineage: Eukaryota; Metazoa; Chordata; Actinopteri; Anguilliformes; Anguillidae
Exons: 3
Source: RefSeq, a predicted model, not a curated record
GGUCACUGCACGACCAUAAUGGAGGAAUUGGAUUUUUUGCUGAAAGGUCUCCAAAAUUAGACAAACCUGGUAAACAUGACGUGACAGUGGUCACAAUUACGAGGUAGCAUGCCAUCUGCAGUUUUUAUUCGCCUAUACCAUUCCGACGACACCUUAGAACCAAAACUUAUCAACAAAGGUUUGCUGAAGCAGAGCCCUAUAAUAAACAGCCUUCAGACUGGGAAAAGGAUGCUGAACAUCUUCAAGUUGGUAAAUGUAUCUUUUUUUCUGUGAAUGCCUGAAGUGAUUUUAAAAAUUCAAGGUAGAGGUAAGUAAAUUUUAGACUAAGUGGACCAUUUGUUCAAAAGCUAUUUUUAAACUAAAUAUUCAAAAAGUAUAUAUAUAUAUAAGUUUUCUCCAAAGAUGUACAGCCUUUUGUCAAAUUGUGUCAAAAUUGUGUGUGAUGAACUUAAAUUGUGUACAUACUGCUGCAUCACCACUGUCCCUUCGCAUACAAUAUGCAGUUUUAAUACAACAGUUAAAAACAUUAAAUGGCUUAUUACAUCUUUUAAUAUUACAAUAAUUAAAUUUCCCCUAUCUAUAUGGAGAUUUAAAAGUAUAUAUUAAAUUUGUUUUCUCAGUCUUUAUUUUUCCUUUUUUUUUUUGAAUGAUUCUGCAAUUGAUAGCUUGUGUUAACUGCAUCUUAAGUACCAUAUCCUUGUGUAUCCUUGUACUGUACAUAUGACAGCUCAGGGAGGCUGGAGUGUUGGCUAAAUUUGUUCUGAUUUGCAAACAAUUUUUUUUUUUAAUUCAUAAGUGUUACUCUUAAAUACCACUGGUUUCUUGUAUCAGAAACAUUAUAUAAUGUACAUGAGGAUAAUGAGCCAUCCUACUUAAUUAUUUACAACGCUGAGAUAUGAAAGUGUUAUACGUAUAUUUUAAAUGUUCUGUGCUUAUAAGUGAAUUAAUAAUAUUACUUUUACAGACUGGUGACAUAACUUCUGAGGAAAUUCAUUUUGAUUGCACUAUAGUACUACUCCAGGUAUUCCUUAAUUUUAUUACAUAAUGUAGGCCUGUACCUCUUUUGAAAAAAUAAACUGACUGUUCAUUCCAUUCCAUGUAGAUGCAAUUUCUGAAGUUAGAGGUUUCUGGCUUACAUAAAUUCAGUCAUUAGUUAUGGCAGCAUGUUUUUACAUAUUUCCUGACAUUCAAUCAUUAAAUUAAAAUUAACAACAAAAAUGUUAAAAUAUAUAUUAUGUAACCAAUUUAUUCAUUGUUUAGGAUUUUAUUUAUUUUUGUUUUAUUUCAUAUUCUCAUUAUAUAAAUUAUUUACUGAAGAGUAGAGAUUUUGGUUUGAUUUUUUUUACUUUGAAAAUGUUCAUGAAAUAUCAAUUUGUUGUGUAUUAUUUCAAGCAAUAACUCCAGAGGUAUAUGACUAUGUUAUAUGUAGGCCUAUAAGUACAGAAUUGGACUGAACCUGGACUUCUUUGAGUUAAUGACUACAUCAGUGCAAGUUAUUAGCCUACUUGCGUUUUUCUUUUGUAUUGAAAUUGUUUCUUAUACAUUUUGUCAUGGUAGACAGUCACCUUUAAGCUCCGUCCAAGAGGAUAGUGCUCUAGAAACGUUGAUAAAUAAUGAUACUAAAAGUAGCAGUAGAUCUUUCAACACAUUACAGUAAUCUGUAAUUUAAAACAGUGUGGCUGUAUAUGACUCGUGAAAUUUAAUCGCAGUUUAAAAAUCAAAAUGUUAAAAAGAAACACAAAAAGUAAACAAUUUGCAUGCUGUUGGUUUGUCCUUGAUAUGCGUAGCACGUUUAGUUACUGUUGGUAACGAAGGUGAGAUGUAGGGCCUACCUAUGCUUACGGUGAAUAAUAUUACAGUGCCAUUCAAAAUGCAAGACUAAAUUGAAGCCAUUGUGUUCUCCCGGGUAACUACUGGCUUGAUUUUAGUUUUAAAUUAUGAAUAGCAUGGCUAUAUUCUUUUGAAACAAGAAUGUCAUAUUUUGUGUGUGAUAUUUCAGUUCAUUCUAAACCAUGUGUGCUACAGUAAGAAGCCAAAUAAUGUUCCAUUUAAGACUUUCGUUUUGAACUACGUAGACCUGCCUCAGUCAUUUUCACCACGAUUAAACAAUGACAGAAAACCUUGGAAGAAAAUGAAUGACAAAAUAUAUGUCUGAUUUUCUAUUUAUGCUUUAAUUGGUCUUGCACGUCCAUUUGACACGCACUUAUACUGUAUUGCAUGCGUUUUUAAAAAUUUUAUACCAAAGGUAUACCAAAGGUAACAACAAAAACUCGAUUCAAUUUUUUGCGUUAUAAUGUUACAUUUAAACUUAUUUUUGUGACGUUUUUAAAAUGUAGUCAACUUCUGUAGCCUAUUUGGGGGGAACUUUUUAUUCCGUGGCACAACAAGCUUUUAUGCUUUAGAUGUUAACUCUUCUUUCAAAAAAAAAAAAAAAAACAACAACAACAAAUUAAUAAAUAAAAAAGGGCGCAGGCAGCUGUGUGGCUAUAUGUCCUAGUGUUGUCCUUUGCUUUUCAUUGCUUACGGUUGUCCAGGAAGUCGGUAAUAUCUAACGUUUUACCAAGAUGCUUAUAUUGAAGAUUUAUUGUGGCAUAUCUGUGGAAAUGUGUAGAUCUUCUCAAAGAAGAAAAAAGGAAGAAUUCCUCGCACCCUUGGAAUCUACACCAUAAAUGUGGGACAUUAUGUUUUCUUACUCGUUUGCCGUGGCCCGUGUGCAUGUAUAGGUUCUAAGACAGUAAGUAUUCUCAACAGAUAUUAACAACUACCCAGUCUGCUCAGUAAGUUUAAAAAACAAAACAUAUUUAGACUAUGUGAACAGUUUAUGAGGGUGAACUCUAUCGAGAAUGAAGCAAAUUAAGCAUGAAAUUCUUCUGCGAUUUUUUCGUGUGAAAUUAUGCGCGCGUGUGUUUUGGGGGAGGGGGGCGGUGGGCUGUGAUUGAUCUACGCUAUUACUGUCUGAUGAUUGAUUUGGCGACACUAUAUACCCAACAUUCAGAAUUUUGCAAAACCCUGCUUUGGGUGUUUUCGUAUUGUCGUUCUACUGGCCUACAGUUCAAAUAUGGAGAGUACAAUGCAGGAGGGCUCGAUACUAUUUAAUCAGUUUGACUGGAGAAAAGUAUUCAAACCCUCUGUUAACAAAAUACUCAUUAAAACAUCAAUAUUCCGUGAUCACCUCGUGCAUCCGUGUGUAACCCUUUUCGUUUUUUGCUAAGUUCGUUAAUUCCCCGAUUUGUCUCAGUUUCUUUUUUUUAAAAAGUUGGUUUGUGGUAUUUUGUGCUGGCCUCUUGUUACGCGAUUGUAUGAUAACGUGUUUUACAACGAUGUGUGAUCAAUUGAAACAGAACUGGCUUUACUCUGACUUCUAAGACUUAAGUGAACAUGAAAGGAAGUAACUAGACAAAACAACCGUUCGUUAUUUGACAUUGCAGACUGAAAGCAAACUUGAUAUGAAUUGUGCUCUGUAAAUUGAUCUCGGUGGGUUCUGAAAAAAGUCAGAUACUGGGACAAUUAAAAUACAUACUAUCUGCCUUGUA